GUCUGCAGCCAUACCACCCCGAACACUCCUGAUUUGUCUGAUCUCGGAAGCUAAGCAGGGACAGGCCUGUUCAGUACUUGGAUGGGAGGAAUACCUAUUCAUACAGUGC
Molecule: ribosomal RNA, 109 nt
Filed under: Peromyscus maniculatus bairdii (prairie deer mouse)
Lineage: Eukaryota; Metazoa; Chordata; Mammalia; Rodentia; Cricetidae
Source: RNAcentral